GAUGAACGCUGGCGGCGUGCCUAAUACAUGCAAGUCGAGCGAACAGACGCUGAGCUUGCUCCGCGGACGUUAGCCGCGGGCGGGUGAGUAACACGUGGAUAACCUACCUGUCAGACUGGGAUAACUUCGGGAAACCGGAGCUAAUACCGGAUAAUAUAUUGAACCGCAUGGUUCAAUAGUGAAAUACGGUGUUGCUGUCACUUAUAGAUGGAUCCGCGCCGCAUUAGCUAGUUGGUAAGGUAACGGCUUACCAAGGCAACGAUGCGUAGCCGACCUGAGAGGGUGAUCGGCCACACUGGAACUGAGACACGGUCAAGACUCCUACGGGAGGCAGCAGUCGGGAAUCUUCCGCAAUGGGCGAAAGCCUGACGGAGCAACGCCGCGUGAGUGAUGAAGGUGUUCGGAUCGUAAAACUCUGUUAUUAGGGAAGAACAAAUGUGUAAGUAACUAUGCACGUAUUGACGGUACCUAAUCAGAAAGCCACGGCUAACUACGUG
Molecule: ribosomal RNA, 497 nt
Filed under: uncultured bacterium
Lineage: Bacteria
Description: partial 16S ribosomal RNA
Rfam family: Bacterial small subunit ribosomal RNA
Source: RNAcentral